AAAAGGGAGAAGAAAGGUGGAAAUUGUACAUCCGAGAGUAAUAGUACAGGUUAGGAGAAUGUCCGGCCCACAGGUCAUAACAUUCUGACAAAUUUGGUCCCCGGAAAGAUAUAGCUGAAUAGCCCUGCUCUAGAGGCUCCGAAG
Long non-coding RNA from Thalassophryne amazonica, 144 nucleotides. RefSeq lists it as uncharacterized. NCBI's taxonomy places the organism in Eukaryota, Metazoa, Chordata, Actinopteri, Batrachoidiformes, Batrachoididae. The transcript is spliced from 3 exons. The record is from RefSeq and is a predicted model, not a curated record.